This 627-nucleotide ribosomal RNA is filed under the name Salmonella enterica subsp. enterica serovar Newport. Its description in RNAcentral is "partial 23S ribosomal RNA". It matches the Rfam family "Bacterial large subunit ribosomal RNA", at positions 2261 to 2882 of the family's 2925-position model. The record is from RNAcentral. Lineage: Bacteria; Pseudomonadati; Pseudomonadota; Gammaproteobacteria; Enterobacterales; Enterobacteriaceae.
GUGGGUAGUUUGACUGGGGCGGUCUCCUCCUAAAGAGUAACGGAGGAGCACGAAGGUUGGCUAAUCCUGGUCGGACAUCAGGAGGUUAGUGCAAUGGCAUAAGCCAGCUUGACUGCGAGCGUGACGGCGCGAGCAGGUGCGAAAGCAGGUCAUAGUGAUCCGGUGGUUCUGAAUGGAAGGGCCAUCGCUCAACGGAUAAAAGGUACUCCGGGGAUAACAGGCUGAUACCGCCCAAGAGUUCAUAUCGACGGCGGUGUUUGGCACCUCGAUGUCGGCUCAUCACAUCCUGGGGCUGAAGUAGGUCCCAAGGGUAUGGCUGUUCGCCAUUUAAAGUGGUACGCGAGCUGGGUUUAGAACGUCGUGAGACAGUUCGGUCCCUAUCUGCCGUGGGCGCUGGAGAACUGAGGGGGGCUGCUCCUAGUACGAGAGGACCGGAGUGGACGCAUCACUGGUGUUCGGGUUGUCAUGCCAAUGGCACUGCCCGGUAGCUAAAUGCGGAAGAGAUAAGUGCUGAAAGCAUCUAAGCACGAAACUUGCCCCGAGAUGAGUUCUCCCUGAGACUUAGAGUCUCCUGAAGGAACGUUGAAGACGACGACGUUGAUAGGCCGGGUGUGUAAGCGCAGCGAU